GUUGCUGUGGCAGAAUCAGGCUAUGCAAAAGACCUAAACUCUUUCCCUAGGGGUUCAAAUCCCCUCACCAACU
This 73-nucleotide transfer RNA is filed under the name Leptopelis vermiculatus (vermiculated tree frog). Its description in RNAcentral is "tRNA-Leu". It matches the Rfam family "tRNA". From Rfam's summary of the family: Transfer RNA (tRNA) molecules are approximately 80 nucleotides in length. Their secondary structure includes four short double-helical elements and three loops (D, anti-codon, and T loops). Further hydrogen bonds mediate the characteristic L-shaped molecular structure. tRNAs have two regions of fundamental functional importance: the anti-codon, which is responsible for specific mRNA codon recognition, and the 3' end, to which the tRNAs corresponding amino acid is attached (by aminoacyl-tRNA synthetases). tRNAs cope with the degeneracy of the genetic code in two manners: having more than one tRNA (with a specific anti-codon) for a particular amino acid; and 'wobble' base-pairing, i.e. permitting non-standard base-pairing at the 3rd anti-codon position. The record is from RNAcentral. Lineage: Eukaryota; Metazoa; Chordata; Amphibia; Anura; Arthroleptidae.